GUAGGUGGCAAGCGUUGUCCGGAAUUAUUGGGCGUAAAGCGCGCGCAGGUGGGUUCUUUAAGUCUGAUGUGAAAGCCCCCGGGCUCAACCGGGGAGGGUCAUUGGAAACUGGGGAACUUGAGUGCAGGAGAGGAAAGUGGAAUUCCACGUGUAGCGGUGAAAUGCGUAGAUAUGUGGAGGAACACCAGUAGCGAAGGCGACUUUCUGGCCUGUAACUGACACUGAGGCGCGAAAGCGUGGGGAGCAAACAGGAUUAGAUACCCUGGUAGUCCACGCCGUAAACGAUGAGUGCUAAGUGUUGGGGGGUUUCCGCCCCUCAGUGCUGCAGCUAACGCAUUAAGCACUCCGCCUGGGGAGUACGGUCGCAAGACUG
Molecule: ribosomal RNA, 373 nt
Filed under: uncultured organism
Description: partial 16S ribosomal RNA
Rfam family: Bacterial small subunit ribosomal RNA
Source: RNAcentral